ACGUAUACCAGAGAACUACGCA
This 22-nucleotide non-coding RNA is filed under the name Arabidopsis thaliana (thale cress). Lineage: Eukaryota; Viridiplantae; Streptophyta; Magnoliopsida; Brassicales; Brassicaceae. The record is from RNAcentral.